RNAcentral lists this ribosomal RNA (253 nucleotides) under uncultured bacterium. Its description in RNAcentral is "partial 16S ribosomal RNA". It matches the Rfam family "Bacterial small subunit ribosomal RNA", at positions 524 to 776 of the family's 1533-position model. The record is from RNAcentral.
UACGGGGGGGGCAAGCGUUGUUCGGAAUUACUGGGCGUAAAGGGCUCGUAGGCGGCCAACUAAGUCGGAUGUGAAAUCCCCAGGCUCAACCUGGGAACUGCAUCCGAUACUGGAUGGCUUGAAUUCGGGAGAGGGAUGCAGAAUUCCAGGUGUAGCGGUGAAAUGCGUAGAUAUCAGGAGGAACACCGGUGGCGAAGGCGGUUAUCUGGACAGAAACUGACGCUGAGGCGCGAAAGCUAGGGGAGCAAACAGG